This 669-nucleotide long non-coding RNA is filed under the name Cricetulus griseus (Chinese hamster). RNAcentral describes it as "lncRNA (ENSCGRG00015041940.1)". The record is from RNAcentral. Lineage: Eukaryota; Metazoa; Chordata; Mammalia; Rodentia; Cricetidae.
CAAGAAUGACCAGCUGUCUUGUCUUUAUUCAAUCCUCAGAUUCCCUCACCCUCAUCCAUGAGAAGUUGUAGCACUGGCAUUACAACAAAUUGGAGGUCCCACCGAGAUUGGGAAAGAAGGGAAAACACUGAAGGAUCACCCAGGAAAGCUGGCCAGCAUUAAGAUUCCCUCACCUGAAACCAUGAGAAGUUGUAGAGCUGGCAUUACAACACAUCUUACACUUGACAGAAUGACUAAGAUGAAAAACACAAGUGACAAGUCAUGAUGGCAAGCAUGUGGAGCAAGGGGAACAUGCUUCCAUUGCUGAUUUUUCUCUCAAUGGAGGCUGAAGACUUCUAGAGAAUCCAUCACUGUCUUAGUCAGGGCUUCAAUUGCUGUAACAAAAUAUCAUGACCAAAAAAUCAGAUGUAUCUCUCAGCUACUACACCAGCACCAUGCUUGCCAGCUGCCUGCCACCAUAAGGAUAGUGGACUAGCCCUCUGAAACUGUAAGCAGACCCCAGUUAAAUGCUUUCUUUUAUAAGAGUUGCCUUGGUUAUGGUGUCUCUUCACAGCAAAAGAACACAGACACAGACAUUUUGAAAAUAAGAAAGUACAAUUGAUUUUAAGAUAGACUUAAAUACAAACUAGAUAAAUAACAAUUUAAAAGAUAGUGUAAGAUGUGGAGCUG